GACGAACGCUGGCGGCGUGCUUAACACAUGCAAGUCGAACGGAAAGGCCCUGCUUUUCUUGGGUACUCGAGUGGCGAACGGGUGAGUAACACGUGAGUGACCUGCCCUGGACUUUGGGAUAAGUUCGGGAAACUGGGGCUAAUACCGGAUAGGAGCUCCUGCUGCAUGGUGGGGGUGGGAGAGUUUCGGCGGUUGGGGAUGGACUCGCCUCUUAGCAGUUUGGUGGUGGGGUAGUGGCCUACAAAGGCGUUGAGGGGUAGCCGGCCUGAGGGGGUGACCGGACACAUUGGGACUGAGACAGGGCACAGACUCAUACGGGGGAGAGCAGUGGGAAAUAUUGCAAAAUGGGCGGACGUGAUGUGGAGAAGCGCCGCGUGCGGGAUGAGGCCUCGCGGGUUAUACUCCGCUCUCGACUGUGACGACGCGUUAGUGACGGUACUGGGUAAAGAAGCACCGGCUAACUACGUG
Molecule: ribosomal RNA, 468 nt
Filed under: uncultured bacterium
Lineage: Bacteria
Description: partial 16S ribosomal RNA
Rfam family: Bacterial small subunit ribosomal RNA
Source: RNAcentral